This 505-nucleotide ribosomal RNA is filed under the name uncultured bacterium. RNAcentral describes it as "bacterial SSU rRNA". It matches the Rfam family "Bacterial small subunit ribosomal RNA", at positions 18 to 518 of the family's 1533-position model. The record is from RNAcentral.
UCUGGCUCAGGAUGAACGCUAGCGGCAGGCUUAACACAUGCAAGUCGAGGGGCAUCGGGAGUAGCAAUACUGCCGGCGACCGGCGCAAGGGUGCGUAACGCGUGAGCAACAUGCCCGUAUCAGGGGGAUAAUCCAUGGAAACGUGGUCUAAUACCCCAUAGUAAUUAUGUAAGGCAUCUUAUAUAAUUUAAAGCUUUGGUGGAUACGGAUUGGCUCGCGUGACAUUAGCUAGAUGGUAAGGUAACGGCUUACCAUGGCUACGAUGUCUAGGGGUUCUGAGAGGAAGGUCCCCCACACUGGAACUGAGACACGGUCCAGACUCCUACGGGAGGCAGCAGUGAGGAAUAUUGGACAAUGGAUGGAAAUCUGAUCCAGCCAUGCCGCGUGCCAGGAAGACGGCCCUAUGGGUUGUAAACUGCUUUUGUAUGGGAGCAAUAAGGGCUACGCGUAGUCCGAUGAGAGUACCAUACGAAUAAGCACCGGCUAACUCCGUGCCAGCCGCCGC